RNAcentral lists this ribosomal RNA (360 nucleotides) under uncultured bacterium. RNAcentral's name for it is "bacterial SSU rRNA". It matches the Rfam family "Bacterial small subunit ribosomal RNA", at positions 29 to 414 of the family's 1533-position model. The record is from RNAcentral.
AGCGAACGCUGGCGGCAGGCUUAACACAUGCAAGUCGAGCGGGCGUAGCAAUACGUCAGCGGCAGACGGGUGAGUAACGCGUGGGAACGUACCUUUUGGUUCGGAACAACACAGGGAAACUUGUGCUAAUACCGGAUAAGCCCUUACGGGGAAAGAUUUAUCGCCGAAAGAUCGGCCCGCGUCUGAUUAGCUAGUUGGUGUGGUAACGGCGCACCAAAGGCGACGAUCAGUAGCUGGCUGAGAGGAUGAUCAGCCACAUUGGGACUGAGACACGGCCCAAACUCCUACGGGAGGCAGCAGUGGGGAAUAUUGGACAAUGGGCGCAAGCCUGAUCCAGCCAUGCCGCGUGAGUGAUGAAGG